GUCGAACGAUGAACCAGGAGCUUGCUCUUGGGGAUUAGUGGCGAACGGGUGAGUAACACGUGAGUAACCUGCCCUUGACUCUGGGAUAACCUCCGGAAACGGAAGCUAAUACCGGAUACGAACUGCGGAGGCAUCUCCAGCAGUUGGAAAGAACUUCGGUCAAGGAUGGACUCGCGGCCUAUCAGGUAGUUGGUGAGGUAACGGCCCACCAAGCCUACGACGGGUAGCCGGCCUGAGAGGGUGACCGGCCACACUGGGACUGAGACACGGCCCAGACUCCUACGGGAGGCAGCAGUGGGGAAUAUUGCACAAUGGGCGCAAGCCUGAUGCAGCAACGCCGCGUGAGGGAUGACGGCCUUCGGGUUGUAAACCUCUUUUAGUAGGGAAGAAGCGAAAGUGACGGUACCUGCAGAAAAAGCACCGGCUAACUACGUGCCAGCAGCCGCGGUAAUACGUAGGGUGCGAGCGUUGUCCGGAAUUAUUGGGCGUAAAGAGCUCGUAGGCGGUCUGUCGCGUCUGCUGUGAAAACCCGAGGCUCAACCUCGGGCCUGCAGUGGGUACGGGCAGACUAGAGUGCGGUAGGGGAGAAUGGAAUUCCUGGUGUAGCGGUGGAAUGCGCAGAUAUCAGGAGGAACACCGAUGGCGAAGGCAGUUCUCUGGGCCGUAACUGACGCUGAGGAGCGAA
Molecule: ribosomal RNA, 685 nt
Filed under: Leifsonia xyli
Lineage: Bacteria; Bacillati; Actinomycetota; Actinomycetes; Micrococcales; Microbacteriaceae
Description: bacterial SSU rRNA
Rfam family: Bacterial small subunit ribosomal RNA
Source: RNAcentral